Armigeres subalbatus is the source of this 354-nucleotide long non-coding RNA. RefSeq lists it as uncharacterized. The transcript has 3 exons. Lineage: Eukaryota; Metazoa; Arthropoda; Insecta; Diptera; Culicidae. The record is from RefSeq and is a predicted model, not a curated record.
GUUCAUUCCAAUCUUCAACAUUUGGAGUAAGUUUCCUUCGUUCUCUAGUUAUUCUGCUGUAGUCGAAUAAUUUGGUUCGGAAAGAUAUCUUGUGCGAGACGGAUUUUUAGCAACGAGAUCAGCUCUACAAAAUCCUCUGUUUUCUUCACCAUAACAAAUCAACAAUUAGAGGAUUUUUUGAUGCAACAUUGCAGUCGCCAAACCACUCGUGCCGAUCUUUCUUUGGAGCCAACAUCCUAGCCACUAAAUAUACUAAAAACUUCAUUUGCUGCACAAUAUUUCACGCAAUCGUUAAGCCGGUGCGAACAUCGGGACGGAAGUUACCAUCGAUUCUGCAAGCACAAACAGAGAUGC